UCGUCCUGAUGGUGACAAAACCCGGCCACCCAACAAGGUCGGAUGAAGGAAAAAAGCCCCUCAGCGGCACCUCCACGCUCCUAUGCAACCCCGCAAAAAGCGAGGGUAGGGCCCUCACUCUGAGAAGAAAAGAAAAAUUAAAAAGGAAGGGUGACGAGCUACGACGGAAACAGAUGAAGGACGGACCGCACCAAAGACAGGGAGUUCCUACCAAACACCCCC
RNAcentral lists this long non-coding RNA (222 nucleotides) under Elaeis guineensis (African oil palm). RNAcentral describes it as "long non-coding RNA (EGUI_LNC011366)". Lineage: Eukaryota; Viridiplantae; Streptophyta; Magnoliopsida; Arecales; Arecaceae. The record is from RNAcentral.